GGUGUGUGAGUCAGGGUCCUGGCAGCAAACACACUCAGGUGGAUUUGGGAAAGAGUUGGAUGAAGAGACUAUUUACAGAGGUGGAAGAAAAAUCUGAUGCAGCAGAUUCCCUCUGGAUAGAACCACUCAGGAGAGAAGGAACCAUGAUGAGUGCGAGAGAAUAAUCACUGUUGAACUCUGGCCAAGGCACCAAGCUGAACUUUGCAUCACGACACUUCCCAUCUUUAAGCAGCCCUGUGAGAUGAGAAAACUGAGGCCUGGAGAUGGGAAGGGACCUCCGAGGCACAUCAGCAGUUUUGCAGGUGAGGAGGCUGAGGCUCAAAGAGGUUAAAUUCAUCGCUCACAUCACCAAAUAGGAAAAUGGUGACACUGGCCUGCCAACCAGCCAGGAAGCCUCUUGGGACCCUUCAGCACUCUUCCUUGGCUACCACCAUUCAGAUGCAGCUUUCAGGGCCUCGGCGUCCUUCACUCCCUGCAGGAUGGCCUCAGGCCCCCGAAUUCCCGACUCAGGUGUGCUCUCAGGCCAACCACAGGCUCUGCCUGUAAGGGUUAGCUUUCUUCAAUUAUUAUUAUUAUUUUUUGAAAAUUUCUCCCUUGCUAAAAUAUAAUUUUUAACAUGGUGAAAAAAUCACUCAUCUUGUACGAAUAUGACAUAAAUGAGUGUAAAAGAUUUUAUUUAAACUUAUUAAUUAAUGAGGGGACUGAUAAGAGAUUACAUGAGAAUUUAACUUACAGAGAUUUAUAUUCUCCCUCAAGCAAAAUCCGCUUGGGUUGCUCUGACUUAUUUGCACUGACCUGGACGAGAAAUAUUUGCAUUACCAUUAGUUUUCUACAAGUGAAGUUUUAUCCCCGACAGGGUUAUAAGACAGCUUAGUCAAUCAAAAACAAUCAAAGGUAUACAGAAUUUGAUAACCCGUGGACCACUAGACAAUGGUCAGAAUUCUACUGAAAGAACACCUAGUAAUUUCUCUUGCCCAUUUCCUGUCUUUGACAAAAUUUCCUAAUAUUCGUAUUUUGUAUUUAUUUUUCCUCUUAUGACUGUGCUUGUGGCAUAUGGAAAUUCUUGGGUCACGGAUUGAAUCUGAGCUGCAGCUAUGACCUAUGCUUCAGUUGUGGAAUUGCCAGAUCCUUUAACCUACUGCACUGGGCCAGGGAUCAAAACUGUGCCUCUGCAUCGACCUGAACUGCUGCAGUCAGAUUCUUAACCUACUGUGCCAUGGCAGAAACUCCUCCUUAUACUCUUUUAAUGUGAGCAGCACAAAAGGAUUUUUGUCUAUGAGAUAUAUAGAACUCCUAUAAGUUAUUAGGAAAGAGACAACUGACCCAAAAGAAAAAUGGGCAAAGGAUGUUAAACAUGCAAUUUCCAAAAUAUCCAAUAAAAAUGAAAAGAUGCUUGACCUAUUUUGUAAUCAAAGAAAUGGAAAUUAAAAGUGCGAUGAGAUAUUGUUUCAUACCCACCAGGUAAAAUUGGUAAAAAUUAAAAAGUCAAGCAUCAGCAAGAAUGUGGAGUCCCAGGAAUUUUCAUAUAUUGAUGGUAAAAGUUUGAAUUGGUAAAAUCACUUUGGAAAGAAAUUUGGCAAAAGCUAGUUAAGUUGAAGAUGUGUAUAUCCCAUGGCAAGAGUAUGUGUAUACUCUUAGGAAGGAGAAAUUCCUAUACAUAUGCAUUAGAUAAACAUGCACAAAAGUGGUCAUGGCCAUAGAAACAACUCAGAUGUCCUUUGACAGACGAUUGGAUUAGGAAGAUGUGGUAUAUAUACACAAUGGAAUAGUACUCAGCCAUAAAAAAGAACAAAAUAAUGGCAUUUGCAGCAACAUGGAUGGAACUAGAGACUCUCAUCCUGAGUGAAGUAAGUCAGGAAGAGAAAGACAAAUACCAUAUGAUAUCACUUAUAUCUGGAAUCUAAUAUAUGGCACAAAUGAACCUUUCCACAGAAAAGAAACUCAUGGACUUGGAGAAUAGACUUGUGGUUGCCAAGGGGGAACGGGAGGGAUUGGGAUGGAUGGGGUGCUUGGGGUUAAUAGAUGCAGACUAUUGCCUUUGGAAUGGAUNUAUAACUGGGUCACCAUGCUGUACAGUAUAAAAAAAAUUGUAUUGGGGAAAUAACUAUUAAAAAAUAAUAAAAGUGGUCAUGGUGUCUAGUAACAGCAAAUCAUUAGAAAUAACCUGAAUGCCUGUCAUCAGGAGAAUGGAGAAAAUAAGUGGUGGCAUAUUUCUGUAUUCAUACAAUGUAAUACUCUACAGCAUUAAAACAAAUGAGGUUGACCUAUAUACAGCAAUAUGGAUAAAUUUCAAAAACUGUGUUGAGUGAAAGAAGCAAGUUGUAGAAGAAUCACAGUAUGGCUGCUUGACAAAGACUAUGUGAUGAAAAUGGAAAAGUCUGAAAGGGAGUGACAUAUACAAACUUCAGGGCAGUGGUUUCCUCUGGGAUGCAGGGAAGAGAAUGAGAUUAGGAAGGGUGACAUCAACUGUAUCUGAAAUGCUUUAAUUGUUAAUACAAGUGAGGGGUAUGAAGAUAUUUGUUAUACUAUUUUUUUUGAUGCUUUUUACAUGCUGGAAUAAUAACAACAACAAUGCCUUGCAUUUCAUUUCCCUGUGGUUUAAAGAUAGAGGAAAUAAAGCUUUUCUCCUC
This 2630-nucleotide long non-coding RNA is filed under the name Sus scrofa (pig). RNAcentral's name for it is "lncRNA (ENSSSCG00015063662.1)". Lineage: Eukaryota; Metazoa; Chordata; Mammalia; Artiodactyla; Suidae. The record is from RNAcentral.